RNAcentral lists this ribosomal RNA (501 nucleotides) under Pharzites sp. BFS-2018. RNAcentral's name for it is "partial 16S large subunit ribosomal RNA". The stretch from base 369 to 501 matches the Rfam family "Archaeal large subunit ribosomal RNA", at positions 2544 to 2676 of the family's 2987-position model. Lineage: Eukaryota; Metazoa; Arthropoda; Insecta; Hymenoptera; Ichneumonidae. The record is from RNAcentral.
UAAUUAAAAGUYGGAUYUGCUCAAUGAGGAAUUAAAUAGCUGCAGUAUAUUGACUGUACAAAGGUAGCAUAAUCAAUAGUUUUUUAAUUGGAAGCUGGAAUGAAUGAUUUGAUAAGAAAAAUAUUGUCUCAAUUAAAUUAAUGUUAGAAUUUUUUUUUCAGUAAAAAUACUGAAUUAUAUUUAAAAGACGAGAAGACCCUAUAGAUUUUUAUAUAUUAAUGUAAAUUUAUAUUAAUUUAAUUUAUUAUUGAAUGUUAAUAUAUUUGAUUGGGGUAAUUAUUGAAUUAACAAAAUUUUAAUUUUUAAUAUACAAUAAUAUUUGAAUAAAUGAUCUUUAAUUUAAGAAUGAAAGAUUAAAAUACCUUAGGGAUAACAGCGUAAUUUUUUUGGAGAGAUCAUAUUGAUAAAGAAGUUUGCGACCUCGAUGUUGAAUUAAGAUAAAAUUUUAAUGCAAAAGUUAAAAAUUUUUGGUCUGUUCGACCAUUAAAAUCUUACGUGAUC